GGACCUCGGCUGGUGGCCUGCCUGUCCCUCUCACCUGCCCGACAAGGUUGCGGGAGCCUCUGCUGGGAAACAACAGUGGUGAACUAGCAACUGUUUCCCGGCAACCGUCUCCUGGCAACUGUGAUCCAGGGGAGCCCAGAGGUGGGCCCUAAAUCCAGUGACCAGCAUCCUCCCAAGGGGGGCAGAGAGAAGAGGAGGAGGCCGUGUGAGUGGGAGCCGGGGCUGGCCGUGGCAGGAGGCACCUGCCCUGGAGCCUCGGAGGGCGCGGCCUACCCACACCUUGACUUGGGGCUUCUGGCCUCAGAACAGUGAGAGAAUAAAGUUGUUGUUUUAAGCCA
Molecule: long non-coding RNA, 338 nt
Organism: Galeopterus variegatus (Sunda flying lemur)
Lineage: Eukaryota; Metazoa; Chordata; Mammalia; Dermoptera; Cynocephalidae
Exons: 2
Source: RefSeq, a predicted model, not a curated record